This is a long non-coding RNA of Coffea arabica (coffee), 1153 nucleotides long. RefSeq lists it as uncharacterized. NCBI's taxonomy places the organism in Eukaryota, Viridiplantae, Streptophyta, Magnoliopsida, Gentianales, Rubiaceae. The record is from RefSeq and is a predicted model, not a curated record.
AUUUUGAAGUUGUUUUCCUUUCUUAAAAGCACGGCCUCUUCUUAAAAUCACGGCCUAAAGGCAUCCUUCCACAUCGGCAAAUGCCCAUUCUCAACGAUUGAAGACCAUCGACUGAAGACUCAUCGGCAAACCAAUCGUUCUUCGCCGGCAGCGCCUCCAGCUCCGGCAAAGACCCACUUCCAGAGGUACGCUACUCUUUCAAUUGGGUUAUUCUCUUAAUCCUUCUUCUUACAGGUCGUGGGCUGAAGCUCUUCAUCAUUUUCUAUUAAUUCUUUUCCUACUUUCUUGAAAGGUUGGAUCAUAUCGCAAUUCAUUGUCCUGGGUUGAGGAUUCAAUGUGGCUAGUCAGAUGCAGAAGCACCUUCAAGCAUUAGGCCCCAAUUUACUAAGAACUGGACCUCCGUAAGCCAGAAUGUUAAACUAGGUGGGGUUAUGGGAUCUUUGGAAUCCACUCCAUUGCAACUUUUGGAUGUCAGAGGGGAUGAUGGUAUUGCUGAGUUAAUCAAACUCUAUAUCUCCUUGGAUGAAUAGAUCAGGUUAGAUGCAGUAGAUAUUGAUUAUGAGAAUGAAGUUGAUGGAGAGAUGUUGAAAAUCUUAGCAGCUCAUCAUGCUGAUCUUUUCAAUUUAGGUGGUUUACAGUGACUAGAAAUGGUCUAUGAGUUACAUUAUCAGGAAGUAACAGUCAUUUUUUACAGUCAUUUGUUCGAUAACAACUUCACAUUAGCUCUUAGGUUGCAGCUCAGAGAUCCUUUUCGUGACUUUGAAAUGGUUGGAUCAUCAAUGCUUGCUCUGGCUCAAGUUGAAAGAAUUUGUAUUCCUGUGCAUGCCGAAAUGCACAACACAAAAUAGAGAAACGGAUUUGAGCAACGAAAAGGAUGAUCUGAAUGAAGAGUUUGUUAUGGAAGGAACCAGUGCUGAAGAAAAUCAUAAGUGCAUCAAUGCACCAUUCAUCUGUCUGUUUAAAAUCUCUGGUGUCCAUGUCACAAGUUUUAAUGUUGAGCCAAAUGGUAGGGGCAUGUUAAUUGAUCCUAGACAGCUACAGUCUGGGUCUCGAUGGUUGCUUUCUAGUGGUAUGAAUAGGACAAGCAAGCAUCCUUUUCCCAUGUCCAAUCAAAAUCAUCCAUUUUCUGACACACACAAUGAUUUGUAUUGAA